Molecule: transfer RNA, 73 nt
Filed under: Chloroflexota bacterium
Lineage: Bacteria; Bacillati; Chloroflexota
Description: Chloroflexi bacterium tRNA-His
Rfam family: tRNA
About the family: Transfer RNA (tRNA) molecules are approximately 80 nucleotides in length. Their secondary structure includes four short double-helical elements and three loops (D, anti-codon, and T loops). Further hydrogen bonds mediate the characteristic L-shaped molecular structure. tRNAs have two regions of fundamental functional importance: the anti-codon, which is responsible for specific mRNA codon recognition, and the 3' end, to which the tRNAs corresponding amino acid is attached (by aminoacyl-tRNA synthetases). tRNAs cope with the degeneracy of the genetic code in two manners: having more than one tRNA (with a specific anti-codon) for a particular amino acid; and 'wobble' base-pairing, i.e. permitting non-standard base-pairing at the 3rd anti-codon position.
Source: RNAcentral
GUGAGCGUGGCCAAGAGGUUAAGGCGCCAGGUUGUGGCCCUGGAGAUCGGGGGUUCAAAUCCCCUCGCUCACC